AUGGCGUCGAGCACCGGGCAAGCAGCUCCUAUUCCCGCCCCACCCGUUGUCGCAACAGCUGCUCCUCCGCCGGCAGCCACCAUGGAGCCCAAGAUGGACGCCGGGCUGCUAGCACUGGCCCGCUCUGGCUCUUACGAAGAUCUGGAAUCACUCCUCAACGGGAAGCCAGCCGCGUACACCCUCGGAAGCUCGGCGAGGCAGCCACCUCCUCUCUACGCGCUCACCGUUGGAGGCGCCACCCUUCUCCACGUGGUGGCCGCCGUCUACGGCGAUUCUGAGGACUCCACCAAGAAGGCCAGGCUCGUCUACGACAAGGCACCAAGCCUCCUCUUCGUGCAAAACAACGAUGGAGAUACGCCCCUGCACUGUGCUGCACGGGCGGGCAACUUCGGAAUGGUGUCUCGUCUCGUUGAUCUCGCCAAUGGUCAGGGUGUUAACAAUGCUAAGGGUCUGCUGGAAACACAAAACAAGAUCCAUGAGACAGCCUUGCACCAGGCCGUCCGCUCUAGGAACAAUGAUAUGGUCAAGUUGUUCAUGGAGGAGAACCCACAACUGGCCCGUUUUCCUGAACAAGGUACUUCGCCGUUGUACUUGGCCAUCUUACUGAAGAAUAAGAUCAUCGCAAAAACACUCUAUGAGAUGAGCGGCGGGGUUCUUUCAUAUUCGGGACCAAAUGGACAAAAUGCGUUGCAUGUUGCUGUUCAGCGGAGCCAAGAUCUUACAAAGAUGCUGUUAGAGUGGAACAGCGACCUUUUGUUACAAAGGGAUAAAAAUGGAAGUACACCUCUUCACUUUGCGAUUGUAGAUAUUCUAUGGCAAAUGCGUUCACAAGUAUUGCCAAGCCUUCCAGAUGCAAUGUAUCAACAGGAUCACAAUGGAUCAUUCCCCAUACAUGUGGCUGCAUCAAUCGGUGCAACAUGGGUCAUCGAUGAUUUUCUUAUGAAGUCACCCAAUUGUGUUGGUUUGCUUGAUGCUAGGGGAAGGACAUUUCUUCAUGUUGCAGUUGACAGGAUGAAAAGAGGGACUGUCGAUUAUGUUUGUCGAAACAUAGCGCUAUCAUGGAUUUUGAAUAUGCAAGACAAAGAUGGGAACACUGCACUGCACCUUGCUGUAAGAAAUGGAAGUCUGAGGAUGUUUUGUUCUCUGUUCCGGAAUAGACAAGUACAAAUGAAUUUAAUUAAUGAGAAAGGGAAGACUCCGCUGGAUAUAGUGCAUUACAGUCUUCCAUAA
Molecule: ribosomal RNA, 1230 nt
Filed under: Triticum aestivum (bread wheat)
Lineage: Eukaryota; Viridiplantae; Streptophyta; Magnoliopsida; Poales; Poaceae
Description: partial small subunit ribosomal RNA
Source: RNAcentral